GCUACCUAACUUCUCAAAGCUUCAUUUCAGAUGCAUGUCUCAGCUGACCCCUCUUGAGGCCCCGCCUUUACCAUUUCAGAGGAUCUGACAUUGGACCCUCACUGCUUCUGCUCUCUGGGCUCCUCCCUCCCUCCUUCCCCUCUUUUUCUCACCAGUACCUGCCAGGGCCACCAGGAAGCACAGACCAAGAUCUUAAGGUGCCCUCUGCCACCCACCCAGGUGGUCUUCUCCUAGCAGGUACAGCUGCAAGGUCACCCUGGGCUUCUGGCCGCCAGGGUGAAAGCAGACCAUGCUGGUUCUCUUUGUCUUCCUGUGCACCAUCCUGUUUCAUGGCAGCUCGGGGGCAAUCAGCCUGGAACAACCAGAUGUGGUAGUGGCACGCACGGGCAACUUGGCCGCCCUGCCUUGCAAAGCCAGCACCAAGGUCAACUACAUCCACUGGUACCACCACCAGGAGGGAAUGGCUCCUGAGAGGAUCCUCAGACUGGACAUGUCUGGGUCAUCCAUGUACAAGGAUUCGGUCCUGAAAGCAGAUAAAGUCAUGGCCACAAAAGACAAGGAUGGCACCAGCUGUAACCUGUUUGUGCUGAAGCUGGAGAAGAGCGACGAGGGCGUUUACUACUGCGCUGCCUGGGAAGCUCACAGCCCAGCACUGGGACCAGUGGAUAGGCGGUAUGGCUGGUGGUAUUAUAUCAAAGUGUUUGGUCCUGGCACAUGGCUCAGGGUCACAGAUAACAUUCCUGAUAAAGACAUUUCCCCCAAGCCCACAAUUUUUCUUCCUUCGAUUGCUGAGGUAAAAGUCCAUAACGCUGGAACAUAUCUUUGUCUUCUUGAGGAUUUUUUCCCUGACAUUAUUAAGAUAGAUUGGAAAGAAAAGGAUGGCAAAACAAUUCUGAAAUCCCAGCAGGGAGACUCCAUAAAGACUAAGGACACAUACAUGAAAUUCAGCUGGCUGACCGUGACUGGAACGUCAAUGGUUAAAGACCACAAAUGUAUCGUCAACCACGAAAGUGAUAGAAGAAGGGUCGAUCAAGAGAUUCUGUUUCCUUCAAUAAACAAAGUUUUGAUGACCAUGCUGGAAUCGAAAAUGGACUUCCAGGGGCAUUCAAAGACUAGGCGAAACAGAGAAGUGGUAACUGUGAGCCCUUCGAGUUCAGGAUCUUUCUCGCCUGUUCCAAGGGCUGUGGCAUUCACUGCUAUUAACUCCACAAAAUCUUCUCUGAAUGAUGAAAAUGACACCCUGCAGCUGCAGCUCGCGAACACAUCUGCCUACUACACCUACGUCCUCCUCCUCUUGAAGAGCCUGGUCUACUCCGCCAUCAUCGCCAUCUGUCUGCUUGGGAGACCAGCGCUCUAUGGCAAUGGGAAGAGCUAACACAUGGUGGCACCAAGGCUCCACAUAUCUCCAUUGGCUAUUGUCGCUUAAAGUGUCUGCUGAGGAUCUACCAGGGCUUUCAUUCUGAGAUUGGGUUAUUUCAGUUCACACGUGUCUUUUUCUCUUGUGUUGUUAUUGGAGAACGGGUUUACAAACAGCCGGGCAAACAGAAACUUUCACUCUGCAGCAAGAACAAAUGCUGUCAUGACUCAGGGGCGGGGCCGGGGGACCAUCCACAGGGGCCUCAACACCGCUUUCUCCUUAGUGUCCACCAGCCCCUCAGCCACCUGGUCCCCUUGCCUCUGGGUAGAGCCAGAGUCCUGGACUCUUUAACCAGAUGAUUGCCUGGAAACCUUUUAGUUUACGUACCUGGAAGCCGCCAUCCUUGCUACCUGAAGCUUGUACUGUUUUUUAAAUAAUAAGCACAAUAAAAGCAAUCAAAAAU
Molecule: non-coding RNA, 1820 nt
Organism: Ailuropoda melanoleuca (giant panda)
Lineage: Eukaryota; Metazoa; Chordata; Mammalia; Carnivora; Ursidae
Source: the annotation of a RefSeq genome assembly